RNAcentral lists this ribosomal RNA (777 nucleotides) under uncultured Neocallimastigales. Its description in RNAcentral is "partial large subunit ribosomal RNA". It matches the Rfam family "Eukaryotic large subunit ribosomal RNA", at positions 26 to 641 of the family's 3401-position model. The record is from RNAcentral. Lineage: Eukaryota; Fungi; Neocallimastigomycota; Neocallimastigomycetes; Neocallimastigales.
CGUCUAUAUACGUAUAGCAUAUCAAUAAGCGGAGGAAAAGAAACUAACAAGGAUUCCCUUAGUAACGGCGAGUGAAGCGGGAAGAGCUCAAAUUUGAAGUCUUCAAGGUUCUACCUUGACGAAUUGUAGUUUAAAGAAGUGUUUUCCGUUAGAGGAGUAGCAAAAGUUCCUUGGAAUGGGACAUCAUAGAGGGUGAGAAUCCCGUAUUUGGUUAUUCUUUCUAGCUUUGUGAUACACUUUCAAAGAGUCGGAUUGUUUGGGAAUGCAGGUCCAAAAUGGGUGGUAAAUUUCAUCUAAAGCUAAAUAUUGGCGAGAGACCGAUAGCGAACAAGUACCGUGAGGGAAAGAUGAAAAGAACUUUGAAAAGAGAGUUAGACAGGUACGUGAAAUUGUCAAAAGGGAAGCGUUUGACACCAGUGUUGUUUUUCCGAAAAUCAAUUAAGAACGGCUUGAUUUUGUGUUGUAUUGACCUUAUCAGCUUUCUUCACUCUUUUUCGAGUCUUUCUUAAUGCACUUUUCGGUUAACAAGUCAACAUCAAUUUCUUUUGUUGUAAAAGGGUAUUUGGAAGGCUGGCUUUCUUUUCGGAGAAAGUGUUUAUAGCCUUAUACCUCUACAAUCGGAGAGAUUGAGGUCUGCAGCGUAGAUCCUUCGGGGCUAGAUACACUUGUGCUAAGUUAUAGCUUUUCAUAGACAACUUGUCGACUAUGUUUAGUCAUGUAGCUUACCCGCUUGUGCUAUUUUACCUACGCUUAGGAUGUUGAGUCAUCACACAUCUC